GACGAACGCUGGCGGCGUGCUUAACACAUGCAAGUCGAACGGAAAGGCCCUGCUUUUGUGGGGUGCUCGAGUGGCGAACGGGUGAGUAACACGUGAGUAACCUGCCCUUGACUUUGGGAUAACUUCAGGAAACUGGGGCUAAUACCGGAUAUGAGCUCCUGCUGCAUGGUGGGGGUUGGAAAGUUUCGGCGGUUGGGGAUGGACUCGCGGCUUAUCAGCUUGUUGGUGGGGUAGUGGCUUACCAAGGCUUUGACGGGUAGCCGGCCUGAGAGGGUGACCGGCCACAUUGGGGCUGAGAUACGGCCCAGACUCCUACGGGAGGCAGCAGUGGGGAAUAUUGCACAAUGGGCGGAAGCCUGAUGCAGCAACGCCGCGUGCGGGAUAACGGCCUUCGGGUUGUAAACCGCUUUCGCCUGUGACGAAGCGUGAGUGACGGUAAUGGGUAAAGAAGCACCGGCUAACUACGUG
RNAcentral lists this ribosomal RNA (468 nucleotides) under uncultured bacterium. RNAcentral's name for it is "partial 16S ribosomal RNA". It matches the Rfam family "Bacterial small subunit ribosomal RNA", at positions 28 to 507 of the family's 1533-position model. The record is from RNAcentral.